GAUGAACGCUGGCGGCGUGCUUAACACAUGCAAGUCGAACGUGAUCCAUUAGCAAUAGUGGUGAAAGUGGCGAACGGGUGAGUAACACGUAGGUAACCUGCCCUGAAGCGGGGGAUAACGACUGGAAACGGUCGCUAAUACCGCAUGAGUCCAUUGAAACGGGAGUGAGAUGGAGAAAAUUCUGGUGCUUCAGGAGGGGCCUGCGUCCGAUUAGCUAGUUGGUGAGGUAACGGCUCACCAAGGCGACGAUCGGUAGCUGGUCUGAGAGGACGAUCAGCCACACGGGAACUGGGACGCGGUCCCUACUCCUACGGGGGGCAGCAGUGAGGUAUAUUGGGCAAUGGGCGGAAGCCUGACCCAGCAACGCCGCGUGAAGGAUGAAGGCCUUCGGGUUGUAAACUUCUUUUAUGGGGGAAGAGUAAGGACGGUACCCCAGGAAUAAGUCACGGCUAACUACGUGCCAGCAGCCGCCGUAA
Molecule: ribosomal RNA, 476 nt
Filed under: uncultured bacterium
Lineage: Bacteria
Description: partial 16S ribosomal RNA
Rfam family: Bacterial small subunit ribosomal RNA
Source: RNAcentral